UACGAAGGGGGCUAGCGUUGCUCGGAAUCACUGGGCGUAAAGGGCUCGUAGGCGGCCAACUAAGUCAGACGUGAAAUCCCUCGGCUUAACCGGGGAACUGCGUCUGAUACUGGAUGGCUUGAAUCCGGGAGAGGGAUGCGGAAUUCCAGGUGUAGCGGUGAAAUGCGUAGAUAUCUGGAGGAACACCGGUGGCGAAGGCGGCAUCCUGGACCGGCAUUGACGCUGAGGAGCGAAAGCCAGGGGAGCAAACGGG
This 253-nucleotide ribosomal RNA is filed under the name uncultured bacterium. Its description in RNAcentral is "partial 16S ribosomal RNA". It matches the Rfam family "Bacterial small subunit ribosomal RNA", at positions 524 to 776 of the family's 1533-position model. The record is from RNAcentral.